ACUGCUCAGUAACACGUGGCUAAUCUGCCCUUAGGACGAGAACAACCCCGGGAAACUGGGGCUAAUUCUCGAUAGGUGAAGAACUCUGGAAUGAGUCUUCGCCCAAAAAGCUUCACGUUAUGCUCGUGGAGUCGCCUAAGGAUGAGGCCGCGACCGAUCAGGUUGUUGGUGAGGUAAUGGCUCACCAAGCCUUUUACCGGUGCGGGCCGUGAGAGCGGGAGCCCGGAGAUGGGCACUGAGACAAGGGCCCAGGCCCUACGGGGCGCAGCAGUCGCGAAAACUUUGCAAUACACGAAAGUGUGACAGGGCUAUCCCGAGUGCCAUCCGCUGAGGAAGGCUUUUACCCAGUCUAGAACGCUGGGGGAAUAAGGAGAGGGCAAGUCUGGUGUCAGCCGCCGCGGUAAUACCAGCUCUCCGAGUGGUGUGGAUGUUUAUUGGGCCUAAAGCAUCCGUAGCUGGCUAAGUUAGUCCCUUGUUAAAUCCACCGAAUUAAUCGUUGGAUUGCGGGGGAUACUGCUUGGCUAGGGGACGAGAGAGGCAGACGGUAUUUCCGGGGUAGGGGUGAAAUCCUAUAAUCCCGGGAAGACCACCAGUGGCGAAGGCUGUCUGCUAGAACGCGCCCGACGGUGAGGGAUGAAAGCUGGGGGAGCGAACCGGAUUAGAUACCCGGGUAGUCCCAGCUGUAAACGAUGCAGGCUAGGUGUUUGGACGGCCACGUGCCGUUCUAGUGCCGCAGGGAAGCUGUUAAGCCUGCCGCCUGGGGAGUACGAUCGCAAGAUUGAAACUUAAAGGAAUUGGCGGGGGAGCAC
RNAcentral lists this ribosomal RNA (809 nucleotides) under uncultured archaeon. RNAcentral describes it as "bacterial SSU rRNA". It matches the Rfam family "Archaeal small subunit ribosomal RNA", at positions 85 to 879 of the family's 1478-position model. The record is from RNAcentral.